GCACCCUACGGGAGGCAGCAGUAGGGAAUCUUCCACAAUGGACGAAAGUCUGAUGGAGCAACGCCGCGUGAGUGAAGAAGGGUUUCGGCUCGUAAAGCUCUGUUGGUAGUGAAGAAAGAUAGAGGUAGUAACUGGCCUUUAUUUGACGGUAAUUACUUAGAAAGUCACGGCUAACUACGUGCCAGCAGCCGCGGUGGUACGUAGGUGGCAAGCGUUGUCCGGAUUUAUUUGGCGU
This 235-nucleotide ribosomal RNA is filed under the name uncultured bacterium. RNAcentral's name for it is "partial 16S ribosomal RNA". It matches the Rfam family "Bacterial small subunit ribosomal RNA", at positions 333 to 561 of the family's 1533-position model. The record is from RNAcentral.